GAGGGAACUCGCAUGUCUCGACAUGUAAGGUCAGAGGUGGACCCAACUCCGUUCAACAAGGCAUCUACUGGGUUCAGACCUAUUGCAGGGAUUCCGCGGAACACGCGGCGCUUUGACACCUAGGAUCAUCGGAAUGUUCUGUUGACGUUUGUCAAUUGGAACAAUGGACAUCCUGGUCGGCGGACUGCAUCUGCGGAGUUCCCGUUUUCAACCGUUUUAGGACAAGUGAGUUGUGUUGCGUUGAGGACUGGAGCUGGCAAAAAUGCUUGCAUAAUUGUGGAUCAAAUGAAGACCAGAGCUUUGAAUCCGAAUUGUGUGUGGUCUGUAAAAAUGAAGGAUAUUGGAAUUAUGCAGAAUGCCAAUGUAACAAGAGAUAUUAUGGAAAAUGUUGCGAAUAUCGUGUAAACAUAUGCGAAGCUGUGCCAGCAGACGUCGUAUUCGUACUGGAUUGUUCUGUUAGUCAGACUGAAGGUCAGUUCAAGAAGCAGCUAGAAUUCGUGGAACGCUUUGUCGAUAAAUUCGGACUCAGUAGUUCAUCCUUUCAGAUUGCAGUAGCAACCUUCUCAACCGAGGCAUACACGGAGACCAUCGGCUGACAAAGGAUGCGAUAAAGUUGCAGAAUAAAAUCCGUAGUAUACGAUUUAGACCAGGCGCUACGGACAAAGGGUUUUCUUUAGCCUGUAAUAUGCUUCAAUCACGAGGAAACCGGCUUCUUGGCCUCACUAUUGAGAAGUUCACAUUUGAUCUGACCGACGGAAUGUCAACAGAUCGGAGAUCCACCAAGAGGGAAGCGAUGCAUCUUCGUAGUAUGUCUACUGUCGUUGUCGUGGGUAUUCGUUAAAUGGUUUCACACGAAGAACUACAAAUAAUUGCAUCACCGGCUGACGAGUUUACUCAGUCCUAUGACUUCUCGGUUGAGAAUUUUGAUUCGCUGCAUACGUUGAUUGAUCAACUUACCGAUGCCACAUUAGGAAAAAGUAAUACGAGUAGUCGCACUGAUAUCAUAGCUUUGAUAGACGAUCUUUCAUUAUCAGCCAUGACGACUACGGAGUUUAGUUUAGCUUUGAAUGGAAUUGCAUAUGUAUAUUGCAAAAUUUGAUGGCCUGUGGAAAAGUCAACGGCCAGCGAUUUUGCGUUACGUGUUUUGAUGAUUUUGAAAAUCAGUAUUUGUCUUUAACAAAUAACCAAAAUAUGGACGAAAUGCUAAGUUAUGUACAAGGUAUUCGACAGCAUCACAAAACCUGUCCGACGUCUGAUUGCUCAGCUAACAUUUCACGAAAUAGUUCAACAGUUAUAAAUGAUGUUCUCCUAACUCAAUGUACUAACACGGAUCCAAAGGCAAGAAACGCAUUACUUGUGUUUACGUCUGGCCGCUUUGAUAACAUUGAAAAGGUCCGGGAAGAUGUUGGAGUGCUAACUCGAGAUACAGGUUUCUAUGUGUUUGCUUUAGGCGCAGGGUAUGGCUCGAACAUUGACGGACUUCAAGCCAUUGCACAGGAACCGAGCAAUGUUUUUGUCGUGACAGAAGACAAUUUACAGACACUUGACGCCAUACAGUCCCAAUUAUCGUACAUUAUCUGUUCUUAGUAUUGCACGUAGUUCCCAAUACAUUUAACAUUCAUUAAAAUAUUUGUAUAACAUUUCAAUCUCAACAUUAUUCACAUUGUAUGUUUUGUUAUUAAUAUUGGGCUAAAAGUGAGGUAAGGCUACCAUUCAACGGUUUAAACACCAAAUGCUUUGCAUUGACCGUUCCAAUGCGGUGGCAAGAGGUGUAAUCAUUCUUUUAUAUAGUAUUGCAUUAAUAGCAUUUGUACUCGAUUGGUAGUUUCCUUAAAUAAAAGACUAUGGGGCAAGAAUCUGUCAGAAUGUUUCAGGUGUUUUAUUUAUCUUGUGUAACACGGGCGAAAUGUUAUUUAUUUUGUUUUCUUCUCGGGAAAUCAAACUGUUCCAGAAAC
Molecule: long non-coding RNA, 1955 nt
Organism: Dreissena polymorpha
Lineage: Eukaryota; Metazoa; Mollusca; Bivalvia; Myida; Dreissenidae
Exons: 5
Source: RefSeq, a predicted model, not a curated record